GUCUUGCUUUGGCAGGACAUCUACUAAAAUUGGGACAAAACAGAAAGGAUUAGCAGAGCUUCUGCUCAAGGAUGACAUGCAAAUUUUUGAAGCAUUUUAUCUUUAA
This 106-nucleotide small nuclear RNA is filed under the name Carlito syrichta (Philippine tarsier). The record is from RNAcentral. Lineage: Eukaryota; Metazoa; Chordata; Mammalia; Primates; Tarsiidae.